RNAcentral lists this ribosomal RNA (465 nucleotides) under uncultured bacterium. RNAcentral describes it as "partial 16S ribosomal RNA". It matches the Rfam family "Bacterial small subunit ribosomal RNA", at positions 28 to 507 of the family's 1533-position model. The record is from RNAcentral.
GAUGAACGCUGGCGGCGUGCUUAACACAUGCAAGUCGAACGGAAAGGCUCCUGCUUGCAGGGGUACUCGAGUGGCGAACGGGUGAGUAACACGUGGGUGAUCUGCCCUGCACUUCGGGAUAAGCCUGGGAAACUGGGUCUAAUACCGGAUAGGACGAUGGCUUGGAUGCCAUUGUGGAAAGUUUUUCGGUGUGGGAUGAGCUCGCGGCCUAUCAGCUUGUUGGUGGGGUAAUGGCCCACCAAGGCGUCGACGGGUAGCCGGCCUGUUAGGUUGUACGGCCACAUUGGGACUGGGGUCCGGCCCUGACUCCUACGGGAGGCAGCAGUGGGGAAUAUUGCACAAUGGGCGCAAGCCUGAUGCAGCGACGCCGCGUGGGGUAUGACGCCCUUCGGGUUGUACACUACUUUCGCUAGGGACGGAGCCGAAGUGACGGUACCUGGAGAAGAACCACCGGCUAACUACGUG